Molecule: ribosomal RNA, 440 nt
Filed under: uncultured bacterium
Lineage: Bacteria
Description: partial 16S ribosomal RNA
Rfam family: Bacterial small subunit ribosomal RNA
Source: RNAcentral
CCUACGGGUGGCAGCAGUGGGGAAUAUUGCACAAUGGGGGAAACCCUGAUGCAGCGACGCCGCGUGAGUGAAGAAGUUUCUCGGUAUGUAAAGCUCUAUCAGCAGGGAAGAAAAUGACGGUACGUGAUUAAGAAGCCCCGUCUAACUACGUGCCAGCAGCCGCGGUAAUACGGCGGGGGCCAGCGUUAUCCGGAUUUAGUGUGUGUAAAGGGAGCGUAGACGGCAGCACAAGUCUGGAGUGAAAUGCCGGGGCUUAACCCCGGAACUGCCUUGGAAACUGUGCAGCUAGAGUGCAGGAGAGGUAUGUGGAAUUCCUAGUGUAGCGGUGAAAUGCGUAGAUAUUAGGAGGAACACCAGUGGCGAAGGCGGCUUACUGGACCGUAACUGACGUUGAGGCACGAAAGCGUGGGGAGCAAACAGGAUUAGAUACCCGUGUAGUC